GACGAACGCUGGCGGCGUGCCUAAUACAUGCAAGUUGAGCGCUGAAGGUUGGUACUUGUACCAACUGGAUGAGCAGCGAACGGGUGAGUAACGCGUGGGGAAUCUGCCUUUGAGCGGGGGACAACAUUUGGAAACGAAUGCUAAUACCGCAUAAAAACUUUAAACACAAGUUUUAAGUUUGAAAGAUGCAAUUGCAUCACUCAAAGAUGAUCCCGCGUUGUAUUAGCUAGUUGGUGAGGUAAAGGCUCACCAAGGCGAUGAUACAUAGCCGACCUGAGAGGGGGAUCGGCCACAUUGGGACUGAGACACGGCCCAAACUCCUACGGGAGGCAGCAGUAGGGAAUCUUCGGCAAUAGACGAAAGUCUGACCGAGCAACGCCGCGUGAGUGAAGAAGGUUUUCGGAUCGUAAAACUCUGUUGGUAGAGAAGAACGUUGGUGAGAGUGGAAAGCUCAUCAAGUGACGGUAACUACCCAGAAAGGGACGGCUAACUACGUG
This 497-nucleotide ribosomal RNA is filed under the name uncultured bacterium. RNAcentral describes it as "partial 16S ribosomal RNA". It matches the Rfam family "Bacterial small subunit ribosomal RNA", at positions 28 to 507 of the family's 1533-position model. The record is from RNAcentral.